UCUAGCGUUGGCGCAUGUAUGUAGCUUUCGUGUUCCAUUUUGCAUAUUUUUGAUAUUGAAAUCGAAGUGUAAGUGCGUUGAGUCGAGCCUUUUGUUCCUCCGCCUUGCUGUUGCGAAUUCACUCCAAAAAUCUCCUUAUUCUGUGAAUUUCUACUUUUUGUGAUAGAGACACUUUUGUUUGUUGAAUUUAUGAACUUUGGUGUAAUGCUGAGACGUUGUGCUUUCGGUUCUGCGUGAGAUUCCAAUGCAUCAUUUCCCAGAUGCUAUCAAAUUUCCUGAGCAGUUUAAAACUUGGGUCAGUAUUGUUGGUGGAAACCCUGAAACAUCUGAUUUUGAAUAUUAUAAGAAGAAGAGAAUUUGUGAUAUAUACACUUUUCUGACAGACACAGAAAUUGUAAUCAACGGCUAAGCACAUUGGCAGUUCCGAUGCUUCAUCUGCCUGGACAAGUUAAGAGUAAAGUAAUCUUAGGACAAGCUUCAUCCACACAACAUUUACUGCCUACAAUAAUACAGCAAGACUGUUCAGAUCUAAUGGCUCCACAGCGCACAAAGAUCAAGCAUCUUCAAGCAAAAAUAUCGUGCUUGUGAAAAAAAGGACAAUCUUUCAAAGCAAGGUUAAAAGGUGCUGAAGAUUUGUCCAGCAGCAAUGUAUUUCAACAUUUUGCUAUGAAAUUUAAGAAACCAGCUCAAUUAUUUUUAAGUAUGCAGUUACAAGCAUCAAAAAACCCAAAUAUGAUAGAAAUAACAAUGAUUAUAUAAAAGCAAAAGAAUACAAUAAUAAAAAAUGGUUAUGUUAUCCAAAUCAAGAAUUAGAAAAUUG
Molecule: long non-coding RNA, 820 nt
Organism: Leptidea sinapis
Lineage: Eukaryota; Metazoa; Arthropoda; Insecta; Lepidoptera; Pieridae
Exons: 4
Source: RefSeq, a predicted model, not a curated record